GCCCUUUUUAUGUUGUACUACUAGUGAUAACAGAAAAAAGCAGUGCAAUAUUAAAAGGGCAU
This 62-nucleotide microRNA precursor is filed under the name Callorhinchus milii (elephant shark). RNAcentral describes it as "Cmi-Mir-130-P1b_pre stem-loop". It matches the Rfam family "mir-130 microRNA precursor family", at positions 12 to 72 of the family's 83-position model. Rfam says of the family: The hairpin precursors (represented here) are predicted based on base pairing and cross-species conservation -- their extents are not known. In this case the mature sequence is excised from the 3' arm of the hairpin. The record is from RNAcentral. Lineage: Eukaryota; Metazoa; Chordata; Chondrichthyes; Chimaeriformes; Callorhinchidae.